Molecule: unclassified non-coding RNA, 200 nt
Filed under: Sebacinales sp.
Lineage: Eukaryota; Fungi; Basidiomycota; Agaricomycetes; Sebacinales
Description: partial internal transcribed spacer 2
Source: RNAcentral
UUAAGUUCAGCGGGUAGUCCCACCCGAUCUGAGGUCAAAUUGUCAAGAUUUGUCUUGUCAAAGACGGUUGGUAGCGUCACCACACCCCAACGAUGCUCUUCAAAAGGCGUUAACCCUCCAAAGACACUCCAGUGAAGAUGCUUAUCACACCGGAUGACACCGACAAAAGGGGGUCACACUCCUGCAUUUAAGACGAGCCG